RNAcentral lists this ribosomal RNA (253 nucleotides) under uncultured bacterium. RNAcentral describes it as "partial 16S ribosomal RNA". It matches the Rfam family "Bacterial small subunit ribosomal RNA", at positions 524 to 776 of the family's 1533-position model. The record is from RNAcentral.
UACAGAGGUCCCAAGCGUUGUUCGGAAUCACUGGGCGUAAAGGGUGCGUAGGCGGGUCUUUAAGUCAGGGGUGAAAUCCUGGAGCUCAACUCCAGAACUGCCUUUGAUACUGGGGAUCUCGAGUCCGGGAGAGGUGAGUGGAACUGCGAGUGUAGAGGUGAAAUUCGUAGAUAUUAGGAAGAACACCAGUGGCGAAGGCGGCUCACUGGCCCGGUACUGACGCUGAGGCGCGAAAGCGUGGGGAGCAAACAGG